GAUGAACGCUGGCGGCGUGCCUAAUACAUGCAAGUCGAGCGAACGGACGAGAAGCUUGCUUCUCUGAUGUUAGCGGCGGACGGGUGAGUAACACGUGGAUAACCUACCUAUAAGACUGGGAUAACUUCGGGAAACCGGAGCUAAUACCGGAUAAUAUUUUGAACCGCAUGGUUCAAAAGUAAAAGACGGUCUUGCUGUCACUUAUAGAUGGAUCCGCGCUGCAUUAGCUAGUUGGUAAGGUAACGGCUUACCAAGGCAACGAUGCAUAGCCGACCUGAGAGGGUGAUCGGCGACACUGGAACUGAGACACGGUCCAGACUCCUACGGGAGGCAGCAGUAGGGAAUCUUCCGCAAUGGGCGAAAGCCUGACGGAGCAACGCCGCGUGAGUGAUGAAGGUCUUCGGAUCGUAAAACUCUGUUAUUAGGGAAGAACAUAUGUGUAAGUAACUGUGCACAUCUUGACGGUACCUAAUCAGAAAGCCACGGCUAACUACGUG
This 497-nucleotide ribosomal RNA is filed under the name uncultured bacterium. RNAcentral describes it as "partial 16S ribosomal RNA". It matches the Rfam family "Bacterial small subunit ribosomal RNA", at positions 28 to 507 of the family's 1533-position model. The record is from RNAcentral.